Triticum urartu is the source of this 1520-nucleotide long non-coding RNA. RefSeq lists it as uncharacterized. Lineage: Eukaryota; Viridiplantae; Streptophyta; Magnoliopsida; Poales; Poaceae. The record is from RefSeq and is a predicted model, not a curated record.
CCGCCGGCCAGCGCCCCCACCUCCCCGCCCCGCCCCCACAACUGACCAGCGGCUUCUUCACUACCUCCCUCCGGCGCUGGCCAGCGCGACGCCACCUACCUACGCCAUCCCGCCCAACACCAACCGGCCUCGUCCACCUCCGCAUCGAACGGCGCCCCUACCACCUUCCUCGGCGCCCGGAGCCCACCAGCCGCCGUCCAUCGCGCCCCAGCCCGCCUCGCGCCGUCCCCGUCCCUCCCGCGACGCCCCACCCUCACCUACCCCGGAUCUGUCCCGGCGAGCGCGGCUGUCGAAUCCCCGAGCCACCUUCUCCACCCCGGCGUGAAUCCACGUCGUCCCCACCCGACCCCGCUGCCGGAUCCAGGGCCAUCGCGACGGCACACUGCCGAAUCCAGGAUGCGCCACCACCAGCGCUCAUCAAACCAUGAGCUCCACGACGCGCCACCGCCCGGCCUUCUCCAUGGCGCAGGAUUCCACCUCAUGCAGUUCGGCCGCCAGACUUGGAAGUGCGUCAGGUUGCGCGAUGUGGUGCGGCGGCGCAUGGCCGUGCAGUUCGCGGCCACCACAGGCCCCCUCACCUAUACCUCCACGGUCGCAUCCUCAACCAGCGGCUCUCUCCCCUCGUCGUCGGCCACGGCACCGCAGCCUGGGAUCAUGGCAGCUUGGCGACCAUGGCAGUGCAGCUCGGAGGCACUCGUGAUGUGGUUCAGUGCUCACGGGAUUGCAAAAUUGGGCGUUUUUAUGUGCGGAUGGAAAUUCAUCAUCACAGAGUGUAGCUGCAGUUUGGGCGAGUCGUGCGUGUGAUCAUGGUGUGCAGAGGCGUGGCAAGUAGUUCGCUGGGCGCGACGGUGCUGUUCACUUCCUUUUCUCUCUUUUCAAAAACAAAGUGUUGAGGCUCGUCUUGUGUGCAGGUCCCUAUGUUCAUAUUGGCAUGUGUGUGAUAAUCAUCCCUCUGUGUAUCUGUAGUUCGCUAUGUUCUCCAGCUAGCUCAACUACUACUCGUUAGCGUUGGCUGCCUCCUGUUGGCCAAAUGAAGGAGGAGCGGUUUUCAGCCCACCCGUCGCUGGCGUGCAGUUUGUGUGUGCGUGGUCUAGCCCAACCACGGCAUGAUCCUCUCCAUUCUCCCAGGCAUCGACUUGGCCAAUGACGACGUGAAGUGCGGCCAACGACGACUUGCAGUACGACCAAUGAUGGCGUGCAGUGUCGCCACCAGCAGCACCUCAGACGUGGGGGCCACGCCGUGCUCCUCUAGUCUGCCGGAGACGCGAAAGGAGCAGCUCCUCCGCCAACGGUCGCAGCCUCCAACCUCCUGUACCUUCGAACUAGCCGACCCCCCUUCUCCACCUGCUUCGUCUGCUUGCCGGUCAGCCGGUCUCCAACUUGCAGAGAUGCAGUACGAUUAGGCGUGCCAUGCAGUUUAGCAGUGCUCUUCUACACUUCACUAAUUUUGUGAUUUAUGAAGAGAAAAAAUAAUGCAAAUGAAGUUUGCUAUGGUUUGCUAUUGAGGUUCAUUUUACUCA